ACGUAGGCGGCAAGCGUUGUCCGGAAUUAUUGGGCGUAAAGGGAGCGCAGGCGGGAAACUAAGCGGAUCUUAAAAGUGCGGGGCUCAACCCCGUGAUGGGGUCCGAACUGGUUUUCUUGAGUGCAGGAGAGGAAAGCGGAAUUCCCAGUGUAGCGGUGAAAUGCGUAGAUAUUGGGAAGAACACCAGUGGCGAAGGCGGCUUUCUGGACUGUAACUGACGCUGAGGCACGAAAGCGUGGGGAGCAAACAGGAUUAGAUACCCUGGUAGUCCACGCUGUAAACGAUGAGUACUAGGUGUCGGAGGUUACCCCCUUCGGUGCCGCAGCUAACGCAUUAAGUACUCCGCCUGGGGAGUACGCACGCAAGUGUG
RNAcentral lists this ribosomal RNA (370 nucleotides) under uncultured bacterium. RNAcentral's name for it is "bacterial SSU rRNA". It matches the Rfam family "Bacterial small subunit ribosomal RNA", at positions 525 to 896 of the family's 1533-position model. The record is from RNAcentral.